CCGACAUAUUUAUAUUAUACUACACUACUAUAUUUACUACUAUAUUUAUUUUUACACGCAACACAAAAGUGUACUUUAUCCUCAGCGGUCGGUGACGAACUAAACAUUGGCCGAAUGUGUAAACACCACACGCCAAGCUGGGCCAAGAUUCCUUUGAUGUGUGCCCAAAAAACCGACAACUCGCCGAAUGCGCGCCAACCUUGACAAAUGUCCGCCAACCUGCACCAAUACCCCGUGUACACAUUGGUGAUGGCGUGUAUUGGCCGCACUUGGGCCAACGUGUACUGGGGCCUUAAAGUAUAAUUGAGAAACGUAAACGUAUUUUGAAGAUAACAAUAUUCUUCUUCUUUGUCGUUAUCACUCUUGACAGAGUGGUCGUGGUCAUCACUUCAGGUGUUGGUGGCAAGCUAAACAACCCGCCUUUACAAGAUAACAAUAUACCUACACACUAUAGCAGGCGUGUCGUCAAUCUCGUUGACGAUCUCAGUGGGUUGAAAGGCGGGUGCGGCGGGUUCGUCGUCGUCACUGUCGUUAGCGCCCGGGUGAGCAUGCUGCGCCGGCGGCGCGUGCGCAGGCCUCGACGCGCGAGCCGUG
This is a long non-coding RNA of Helicoverpa armigera (cotton bollworm), 594 nucleotides long. RefSeq lists it as uncharacterized. The record is from RefSeq and is a predicted model, not a curated record. NCBI's taxonomy places the organism in Eukaryota, Metazoa, Arthropoda, Insecta, Lepidoptera, Noctuidae. The transcript is spliced from 3 exons.